AGAGCGAACGCUGGCGGCAUGCUUAACACAUGCAAGUCGCACGGGCACUUCGGUGUCAGUGGCGGACGGGUGAGUAACGCGUAGGUAUCUAUCCUUGGGUGGGGGACAACUGUGGGAAACUACAGCUAAUACCGCAUGAUAACUGAGGUUUAAAGGCGCAAGUCGCCUGAGGAGGAGCCUGCGUACGAUUAGCUAGUUGGUGGGGUAAAGGCCUACCAAGGCGACGAUCGUUAGCUGGUCUGAGAGGAUGAUCAGCCACAUUGGGACUGAGACACGGCCCAAACUCCUACGGGAGGCAGCAGUGGGGAAUAUUGUACAAUGGGCGCAAGCCUGAUCCAGCAAUGCCGCGUGUGUGAAGAAGGUCUUCGGAUUGUAAAGCACUUUCGACGGGACGAUGAUGACGGUACCGUAGAAGAAGCCCGGCUAACUCGCGCCAGCAGCCGC
This 444-nucleotide ribosomal RNA is filed under the name uncultured bacterium. RNAcentral describes it as "SSU rRNA". It matches the Rfam family "Bacterial small subunit ribosomal RNA", at positions 26 to 518 of the family's 1533-position model. The record is from RNAcentral.